AUUGAACGCUGGCGGCAGGCCUAACACAUGCAAGUCGAACGGUAACAGAAAGCAGCUUGCUGCUUUGCUGACGAGUGGCGGACGGGUGAGUAAUGUCUGGGAAACUGCCUGAUGGAGGGGGAUAACUACUGGAAACGGUAGCUAAUACCGCAUAACGUCGCAAGACCAAAGAGGGGGACCUUCGGGCCUCUUGCCAUCGGAUGUGCCCAGAUGGGAUUAGCUAGUAGGUGGGGUAAAGGCUCACCUAGGCGACGAUCCCUAGCUGGUCUGAGAGGAUGACCAGCCACACUGGAACUGAGACACGGUCCAGACUCCUACGGGAGGCAGCAGUGGGGAAUAUUGCACAAUGGGCGCAGGCCUGAUGCAGCCAUGCCGCGUGUAUGAAGAAGGCCUUCGGGUUGUAAAGUACUUUCAGCGGGGAGGAAGGGAGUAAAGUUAAUACCUUUGCUCAUUGACGUUACCCGCAGAAGAAGCACCGGCUAACUCCGUG
RNAcentral lists this ribosomal RNA (490 nucleotides) under uncultured bacterium. RNAcentral's name for it is "partial 16S ribosomal RNA". It matches the Rfam family "Bacterial small subunit ribosomal RNA", at positions 30 to 507 of the family's 1533-position model. The record is from RNAcentral.